RNAcentral lists this ribosomal RNA (248 nucleotides) under uncultured Bacillota bacterium. Its description in RNAcentral is "uncultured Firmicutes bacterium partial 16S ribosomal RNA". It matches the Rfam family "Bacterial small subunit ribosomal RNA", at positions 796 to 1041 of the family's 1533-position model. The record is from RNAcentral. Lineage: Bacteria; Bacillati; Bacillota.
CACGCUGUAAACGAUGAAUGCUAGGUGUAGGUGGGGAUACUCAUCUGUGCCGGAGUUAACACAAUAAGCAUUCCACCUGGGGAGUACGGCCGCAAGGUUGAAACUCAAAGGAAUUGACGGGAGCCCGCACAAGCAGUGGAGUAUGUGGUUUAAUUCGACGCAACGCGAAGAACCUUACCGGAACUUGACAUCCUGCCAAGGCGAAUGUAAUGUUUGCCGUGCCCUUCGGGGAGAGCAGAGACAGGUGG